RNAcentral lists this ribosomal RNA (454 nucleotides) under uncultured bacterium. Its description in RNAcentral is "partial 16S ribosomal RNA". It matches the Rfam family "Bacterial small subunit ribosomal RNA", at positions 355 to 826 of the family's 1533-position model. The record is from RNAcentral.
UGGGGAAUAUUGCACAAUGGGCGAAAGCCUGAUGCAGCAACGCCGCGUGAGUGAUGAAGGUCUUCGGAUUGUAAAGCUCUGUCUUUUGGGACGAUAAUGACGGUACCAAAGGAGGAAGCCACGGCUAACUACGUGCCAGCAGCCGCGGUAAUACGUAGGUGGCGAGCGUUGUCCGGAUUUACUGGGCGUAAAGGGUGCGUAGGCGGAUGUUUAAGUGAGAUGUGAAAUACCCGGGCUUAACUUGGGUGCUGCAUUUCAAACUGGAUAUCUAGAGUGCAGGAGAGGAGAAUGGAAUUCCUAGUGUAGCGGUGAAAUGCGUAAAGAUUAGGAAGAACACCAGUGGCGAAGGCGAUUCUCUGGACUGUAACUGACGCUGAGGCACGAAAGCGUGGGUAGCAAACAGGAUUAGAUACCCUGGUAGUCCACGCCGUAAACGAUGAGUACUAGGUGUAGG